This 1458-nucleotide ribosomal RNA is filed under the name uncultured bacterium. RNAcentral describes it as "16S ribosomal RNA". It matches the Rfam family "Bacterial small subunit ribosomal RNA". The record is from RNAcentral.
GACGAACGCUGGCGGCGUGCUUAAUGAAUGCGAGUCGAGCGAGAACCGGACUGAGGAAACCUUCGGGUGGAAUCAGUCUGGGGAGAGCGGCAAACGGGUGAGUAACACGUGGGUAACCUGCCCCUCAGACGGGGAUAAUUCGCCGAAAGGCGGACUAAUACCCGAUGGUGAUGUGCCAACACAUGUUGAUACAUCUAAAGGCUCCGGUGCUGAGGGAGGGGUCCGCGGCCGAUUAGCUUGUUGGUAGGGUAACGGCCUACCAAGGCUUCGAUCGGUAGCCGGUCUGAGAGGAUGACCGGUCACACUGGGACUGAGACAUGGUCCAGACUCCUACGGGAGUUAGCAUCAGGGAAUCUUGCGCAAUGGGCGAAAGCCUGGCGCAGCGACGCCGCGUGGGUGAUGAAGGCCGGCGGGUCGUAAAGCCCUGUCGGGAGGGAAGAAACAGCACCUUCGGGUGCUUUGACUGUACCUCCGGAGGAAGCCCCGGCUAAUUACGUGCCAGCAGCCGCGGUAAUACGUAAGGGGCCAGCGUUGUCCGGAAUUACUGGGCGUAAAGAGCACGUAGGCGGUUAGGAAAGCGAUAGGUGAAAUCCCCCGGCUCAACCGAGGAACUGCUUAUCGAACUGCCUGACUAGAGCACGGGAGAGGGCACUGGAAUUCCUGGUGUAGCGGUGGAAUGCGUAUAUAUCAGGAGGAACACCGGUGGCGAAGGCUGGUGCCUGGAACGUUGCUGACGCUAAGGUGCGAAAGCCAGGGGAACAAACGGGAUUAGAUACCCCGGUAGUCCUGGCCGUAAACGAUGGACACUAGGUGUUGGAGGUUCGACCCCUUCAGUGCUGUUAAGCUAACGCGUUAAGUGUCCCGCCUGGGGAGUACGGUCGCAAGGCUGAAACUCAAAGGAAUUGACGGGGGCCCGCACAAGCGGUGGAGCAUGUGGGUCAAUGGGAUGAUACGCCGAGAACCUUACCAGGGCUUGACAUGACCCUGAUCCCCUGCGAAAGCAGGUCUUCUGGGCAACCAGACAGGGCCACAGGUGGUGCAUGGUUGUCGACAGCUCGUGUCGUGAGAUGUUGGGUUAAGUCCCGCAACGAGCGCAACCCUCGCCGGAUGUUGCCAGCGGUUAGGCCGGGCACUCUUCCGGGACUGCCGGAGUAAUCCGGAGGAAGGGGGGGAUGACGUCAAGUCUGCAUGCCCCUUAUGUCCUGGGCUGCACACGUGCUACAAUGGCGAGUACAAAGGGUCGCGAAGCCGCGAGGCCCAGCUAAUCCCCAAAAACUCGUCCCAGUUCGGAUUGGAGUCUGCAACUCGACUCCAUGAAGUCGGAAUCGCUAGUAACCGUGGAUCAGCAAUGCCGCGGUGAAUACGUUCCCGGGCCUUGUACACACCGCCCGUCAAGUCACGGAAGCCGACAGCACCCCAAGUCCGCUACGGCGGCCCAAGGUGAGGUCAGUGACUGGG